This 69-nucleotide transfer RNA is filed under the name Podarcis lilfordi (Lilford's wall lizard). RNAcentral's name for it is "tRNA.Ser". Lineage: Eukaryota; Metazoa; Chordata; Lepidosauria; Squamata; Lacertidae. The record is from RNAcentral.
GUGUGGUGUAGUGGUUAGAGUGCUGGACUAGAAACCUGGGAGACCAGGGUUCAAAUCCCCGCUUGGCCA